CUACGGGAGGCAGCAGUAGGGAAUCUUCCGCAAUGGACGAAAGUCUGACGGAGCAACACCGCGUGAGUGAUGAAGGUUUUCGGAUCGUAAAGCUCUGUUGUUAGGGAAGAACAAGUGCGAGAGUAACUGCUCGCACCUUGACGGUACCUAACCAGAAAGCCACGGCUAACUACGUGCCAGCAGCCGCGGUAAUACGUAGGUGGCAAGCGUUGUCCGGAAUUAUUGGGCGUAAAGGGCUCGCAGGCGGUUUCUUAAGUCUGAUGUGAAAGCCCCCGGCUCAACCGGGGAGGGUCAUUGGAAACUGGGAAACUUGAGUGCAGAAGAGGAGAGGGGAAUUCCAAGUGUAGCGGUGAAAUGCGUAGAGAUUUGGAGGAACACCAGUGACGAAGGCGACUAUCUGGUCUGUAACUGACACUGAGGCGCGAAAGCGUGGGGAGCAAACAGGAUUAGAUACCCUGGUAGUCCACGCCGUAAACGAUGAGUGCUAAGUGUUAGGGGGUUUCCGCCCCUUAGUGCUGCAGCUAACGCAUUAAGCACUCCGCCUGGGGAGUACGGUCGCAAGACUGAAACUCAAAGGAAUUGACG
Molecule: ribosomal RNA, 585 nt
Filed under: uncultured bacterium
Lineage: Bacteria
Description: bacterial SSU rRNA
Rfam family: Bacterial small subunit ribosomal RNA
Source: RNAcentral